This 2904-nucleotide ribosomal RNA is filed under the name Runella defluvii. RNAcentral describes it as "23S ribosomal RNA". It matches the Rfam family "Bacterial large subunit ribosomal RNA". The record is from RNAcentral. Lineage: Bacteria; Pseudomonadati; Bacteroidota; Cytophagia; Cytophagales; Spirosomataceae.
GAAGAAGCAAAAUAAGGGCGCAUGGGGAAUGCCUAUGGCUCUCAGCGGCGAAGAAGGACGUGAUAAGCUGCGUAAAGGCUAGGGGAGUGGCACAUACACAUUGAUCCUAGCAUGUCCGAAUGGGGCAACCCACCCUAAGUGAUUAGGGUAUCCGAAAGGAGGCAAACGGGGGGAACUGAAACAUCUAAGUACCCCUAGGAAGAGAAAACAACAGUGAUUCCGUAAGUAGUGGCGAGCGAACGCGGACAAGCCCAAACCGAUGACGUUACGGCGUUAUAGGGGUUAUAGGACUGAUUUUUAAGAACUACAUGAAGAUGAAUUGUCUGGGAAGGCAAACCGGAGCGGGUGAGAGUCCCUUAAUUGUAAGGUGUAGAACUGUAUCAGGAUCCUGAGUAGGUGGGGACAGGAGGAAUCCCCUCUGAAUUCGGCGGCACCAUCCGCCAAGGCUAAAUACGACUGAGAGACCGAUAGUGAACGAGUACCGUGAGGGAAAGGUGAAAAGAACCGGGAGUACCGGGGUGAAAUAGAACCUGAAACCAUGCGCUUACAAGCGGAGGGAGCCUAUGGGUGACCUCGUGCCUUUUGCAUAAUGAGCCUACGAGUUGUUCUUACUAGCGAGGUUAAUGUUUUAAGGACAGGAGCCGAAGCGAAAGCGAGUCUGAAAAGGGCGUUUAGUUAGUGAGAGCAGACGCGAAACUUGGUGAUCUAUCCGUGGUCAGGUUGAAGUGUGGGUAACACUGCAUGGAGGACCGAACCAGUUAACGUUGAAAAGUUUUUGGAUGAACUGCGGAUAGGGGUGAAAGGCCAAUCAAACUGAGAAAUAGCUCGUACUCCCCGAAAUGUUUUUAGGAACAGCGUUGUGGGGCGUUUAUGUCAGGUAGAGCUACUGAUAGGAUGCGGGGGAGUCAAAUCCUACCAAAUUCUGACAAACUCCGAAUGGGCAUAAACAGACACAGCAGUGAGGGCCGGGGUGCUAAGGUCACGGUCCGAGAGGGGAACAACCCAGAGCAACCGCUAAGGUCCCUAAGUAUAUACUAAGUUGAACAAAGGAAGUCUGACUGCCGAGACAGCCAGGAUGUUAGCUUGGAAGCAGCUAUACAUUUAAAGAGUGCGUAACAGCUCACUGGUCGAGCGGGGCGGGCGUCGAUAAUAAACGGGCAUCAAGUAUAUCACCGAAGCGAUGCGAUUAGUAAUAAUCGGUAGGGGAGCAUUCUAACGUCAGCNNNNNNNNNNNNNNNNNNNNNNNNNNNNNNNNNNNNNNNNNNNNNNNNNNNNNNNNNNNNNNNNNNNNNNNNNNNNNNNNNNNNNNNNNNNNNNNNNNCGAAGUUGUAGCGUGAGCUAUGGUGGAGAUUUUAGAAAAGCAAAUGUAGGCAUAAGUAACGACAAUGUAUGUGAGAACCAUACACACCGUAAAGCUAAGGAUUCCUCAGCUAUGUCAAUCAACUGAGGGUUAGUCGGGGCCUAAGGGGAAGGCGAAGGCCGCACCUGACGGACAGCAGGUUAAUAUUCCUGCACCUGAUACAAGUGUGAAGCGUACGGGGUAGGGGAGAGAGUACGAAGUGACGGAAGUCUUCGUUGAGCGGCGUUUACGGACAAAGCGAACUUUUGAACUGGCCUCCAAGAAAAAGCGCUGAAACAUCAGCUUGUAUUAGCCCGUACCGUAAACCGACACAGGUAGCUGGGUAGAAUAUACCAAGGUGCUCAAGUGAAUCACGGUUAAGGAACUCGGCAAAUUAGUCCUGUAACUUCGGGAGAAGGGACACUCUGGCGCGAGCUAGAGUCGCAGAGAAAUGGCCCAGGCGACUGUUUAACAAAAACACAGGGCAACGCAAAGUGGAGACACGACGUAUGUUGCCUGACACCUGCCCGGUGCUGGAAGGUUAAGAGGGGAGCUUAGCGCAAGCGAAGGUUUGAAUCGAAGCCCCAGUAAACGGCGGCCGUAACUAUAACGGUCCUAAGGUAGCGAAAUUCCUUGUCGGGUAAGUUCCGACCUGCACGAAUGGUGUAACGAUCUGGGCACUGUCUCAACCGUGAGCUUGGUGAAAUUGUAGUAGCGGUGAAGAUGCCGCUUACCCGUCACGGGACGGAAAGACCCCGUGCACCUUUACUACAACUUUGCGUUGGAUAUGGGAUAUGAAUGUGUAGGAUAGGUGGGAGGCUAUGAAGUGGAUUCGUCAGGAUUCAUGGAGCCAACGUUGAAAUACCACCCUUUUGUAUUCUGUGUUCUAACUUAUUAUUGAGGACCGCGCAUGGUGGGUAGUUUGACUGGGGUGGUCGCCUCCAAAAGAGUAACGGAGGCUUCCAAAGGUUAGCUCAUGACGGACGGUAAUCGUCAGGGGAGUGCAAAAGCACAAGCUAGCUUGACUGUGAGACCGACGGGUCGAUCAGGUGGGAAACCAGGGUUUAGUGAUCCGGUGGUUGCGCAUGGGUGUGCCAUCGCUCAAAGGAUAAAAGGUACGCCGGGGAUAACAGGCUGAUCAUCCCCAAGAGCUCACAUCGACGGGAUGGUUUGGCACCUCGAUGUCGGCUCGUCACAUCCUGGGGCUGGAGAAGGUCCCAAGGGUUCGGCUGUUCGCCGAUUAAAGUGGCACGCGAGCUGGGUUCAGAACGUCGUGAGACAGUUCGGUCCCUAUCUGUGAUGGGCGUAGGAAGUUUGACGGGGGCUGACCUUAGUACGAGAGGACCGGGUUGGACUCACCUCUGGUGAAUCGGUUGUUACGCCAGUAGCAUGGCCGAGUAGCUACGUGGGCAACAGAUAAGCGCUGAAAGCAUCUAAGUGCGAAACUGGCCUGAAGAUGAGACUUCCACAUAAGGGACGUUGUAGACGACGACGUUGAUAGGCUGCAAGUGUAAAGGUGGUGACAUCAAAGCUGAGCAGUACUAAUUGCCCAAUAGCUUCUUUGU